UUGGUGAUAGUUCUUAUGGAUGACCAAACUAGUGCCAAUCAGAAAAAUGAUGGUCAUUCUCCUACAGAAGAUGAUGUUGACAUCAACAUUGAUGAUACCAAUGUGAGCGAUCCUGCGUCCAUAUUUAAUUCAUCUGCGACAUAAUUUGCUAGUGUUGAUGACGAACCGGUUAUUACUGUGGAUAUUUAUGAUCUAAGCAAUUUGGGUAAUCUUGAAAAUAAAUUGAGGGAUAUAUUAGUGGAAAAGGGGCCUAAAAGGAAAGAAGAAAACACUAAAUAUUCUUUGGAUGAAAAUUCAAGACAUUUUUCAUAUACGCAUUACUCAAGAAAUAUGUGCAAUUGAGAAGUGCAUGAUAGGAAAUGGUCAGUUAUUUCAAAAGGCGCAAAAAAAGUGUUUUCAUUGUGA
This 405-nucleotide ribosomal RNA is filed under the name Triticum aestivum (bread wheat). RNAcentral's name for it is "partial small subunit ribosomal RNA". Lineage: Eukaryota; Viridiplantae; Streptophyta; Magnoliopsida; Poales; Poaceae. The record is from RNAcentral.